GUGGGGAAUAUUGGACAAUGGGGGGAACCCUGAUCCAGCCAUGCCGCGUGUGUGAAGAAGGCCUUUUGGUUGUAAAGCACUUUAAGCGAGGAGGAGGCUACCGAGAUUAAUACUCUUGGAUAGUGGACGUUACUCGCAGAAUAAGCACCGGCUAACUCUGUGCCAGCAGCCGCGGUAAUACAGAGGGUGCAAGCGUUAAUCGGAUUUACUGGGCGUAAAGCGCGCGUAGGUGGCCAAUUAAGUCAAAUGUGAAAUCCCCGAGCUUAACUUGGGAAUUGCAUUCGAUACUGGUUGGCUAGAGUAUGGGAGAGGAUGGUAGAAUUCCAGGUGUAGCGGUGAAAUGCGUAGAGAUCUGGAGGAAGACCGAUGGCGAAGGCAGCCAUCUGGCCUAAUACUGACACUGAGGUGCGAAAGCAUGGGGAGCAAACAGGAUUAGAUACCCGUGUAGUCC
RNAcentral lists this ribosomal RNA (451 nucleotides) under uncultured bacterium. RNAcentral's name for it is "partial 16S ribosomal RNA". It matches the Rfam family "Bacterial small subunit ribosomal RNA", at positions 354 to 796 of the family's 1533-position model. The record is from RNAcentral.